GUUUCUGUAGUGUAGUGGUCAUCACGUUCGCCUAACACGCGAAAGGUCCUCGGUUUUAAACCGAGCAGAAACA
RNAcentral lists this transfer RNA (73 nucleotides) under Danio rerio (zebrafish). Its description in RNAcentral is "tRNA-Val (AAC) (tRNA-Val-AAC-60-1, tRNA-Val-AAC-60-2)". It matches the Rfam family "tRNA". From Rfam's summary of the family: Transfer RNA (tRNA) molecules are approximately 80 nucleotides in length. Their secondary structure includes four short double-helical elements and three loops (D, anti-codon, and T loops). The record is from Rfam by way of RNAcentral. Lineage: Eukaryota; Metazoa; Chordata; Actinopteri; Cypriniformes; Danionidae.